GGGAUGUUAGUAAAGUAAUUACAUGGCCUUGUCAAGACCAAAUCACAGGUGAAACCCCAGUACAUCCUA
This 69-nucleotide transfer RNA is filed under the name Climacteris picumnus (brown treecreeper). RNAcentral describes it as "tRNA-Asp". The record is from RNAcentral. Lineage: Eukaryota; Metazoa; Chordata; Aves; Passeriformes; Climacteridae.